CAGUCGCCGCGGUAACACGAAGGGUGCAAGCGUUAAUCGGAAUUACUGGGCGUAAAGCGUGCGUAGGCGGUGAGUUAAGUCUGCUGUGAAAUCCCCGGGCUCAACCUGGGAAUGGCAGUGGAUACUGGCUCGCUAGAGUGUGUCAGAGGAUGGUGGAAUUCCCGGUGUAGCGGUGAAAUGCGUAGAGAUCGGGAGGAACAUCAGUGGCGAAGGCGGCCAUCUGGGACAACACUGACGCUGAGGCACGAAAGCGUGGGGAGCAAACAGGAUUAGAGACCCCGGUAGUCCCUGUCUCUUAUAC
RNAcentral lists this ribosomal RNA (301 nucleotides) under uncultured bacterium. RNAcentral describes it as "partial 16S ribosomal RNA". It matches the Rfam family "Bacterial small subunit ribosomal RNA", at positions 509 to 807 of the family's 1533-position model. The record is from RNAcentral.